GGUAGUACUGUGGAGACCCUGGAUUACCAGCUGAUUCCCGGAAGCUCUGAAGACCAAACCAAACAUAUUUAGUUCAGUUCGUUUUUAGAUGUUGUAAGUUAGAGACAAAAAUAUAUAUAUCAGUCCGUUUAUAUCUUUGUUAGUUUGCGUCGCUACAGUACAACCUUUAAGCCAGUUUUCUAUAUUUCAUAAGAACGGGUGCCUUAGAUUCAGGUCUAGCUAAUUUUUUAAAUUCUUUUUCUCCACGUGAAAUUAUGAAUGCUGUAAUAUCCAAAAUCAUAUUUUUACAACACUAUUAAAACCCUUAUGUUAUUGAAUAAUAACAGAAUUUCUUCAUUAAAUAGUUUUCAUGGUACACUUGUUUAAACUCUGAUUUCAUUCCAAUCCUGAACUCCAAGAUGAAAACUACUCUUCUAGUUCUCUUCUUCAUCUCUACUAUUGGAUAUACUCUAUCCCUGCAGUGCUGCCCGGCACAGGAAGUAGCUGGAGAUGAUGGUGAUGUAAGAUGUGGAACCUACUUGUUACAU
This is an RNA transcript of Eurytemora carolleeae, 527 nucleotides long. RefSeq lists it as uncharacterized. The transcript has 2 exons. The record is from RefSeq and is a predicted model, not a curated record. Lineage: Eukaryota; Metazoa; Arthropoda; Copepoda; Calanoida; Temoridae.